GUAGGGUGCGAGCGUUAAUCGGAAUUACUGGGCGUAAAGCGUGCGCAGGCGGUUUUGUAAGCCAGAUGUGAAAUCCCCGGGCUUAACCUGGGAAUGGCAUUUGGGACUGCAAGGCUCGAGUGCGGCAGAGGAGACUGGAAUUCCUGGUGUAGCAGUGAAAUGCGUAGAUAUCAGGAGGAACACCGAUGGCGAAGGCAGGUCUCUGGGCUGACACUGACGCUCAUGCACGAAAGCGUGGGGAGCAAACAGGAUUAGAUACCCUGGUAGUCCACGCCCUAAACGAUGUCGACUGGUUGUUGGGGGUUUGACACUCUCAGUAACGAAGCUAACGCGUGAAGUCGACCGCCUGGGGAGUACGGCCGCAAGGUUA
RNAcentral lists this ribosomal RNA (370 nucleotides) under uncultured bacterium. RNAcentral describes it as "bacterial SSU rRNA". It matches the Rfam family "Bacterial small subunit ribosomal RNA", at positions 527 to 896 of the family's 1533-position model. The record is from RNAcentral.